AGAGAGAGACAUGCGCGCAUAUCAAUAAGCGGAGGAAAAGAAACUAACAAGGAUUCCCUUAGUAACGGCGAGUGAAGCGGGAAGAGCUCAAAUUUGAAAUCUUCAAGGUUCUACCUUGACGAAUUGUAGUUUAUAGAAGUGUUUUCUGUUAGUGGAGUGGCGAAAGUUCUUUGGAAUAGGACAUCAUAGAGGGUGAGAAUCCCGUAUUUGGUCAUUCCUCCUAGCGUUGUGAUACACUUUCAACGAGUCGGAUUGUUUGGGAAUGCAGUCCAAAAUGGGUGGUAAAUUUCAUCUAAAGCUAAAUAUUGGCGAGAGACCGAUAGCGAACAAGUACCGUGAGGGAAAGAUGAAAAGAACUUUGAAAAGAGAGUUAAACAGUACGUGAAAUUGUCAAAAGGGAAGCGUUUGACACCAGUGUUGUUUUUCCGAAAAUCAAUUACGAAUGUUUUAUUUUUGAGGAGUUAUGACUUCAUCGGCUUGCUCCUUUCUUUAUGAAACUUUCUUAAUGCACUUUUCGGUUAACAAGUCAACAUCAAUUUCUUUUGUUGUAAAAGGGUAUGAGGAAGGUGGCUUUCUUUUCGGAGAAAGUGUUUAUAGCCUUGUGCCUCUGCAAUCGGAGAGAUUGAGGUCUGCAGCGUAGAUCCUUCGGGGUUAGAUACGUUUGUGCUAAGUUAUAGCUUUUCAUAGACAACUUGUUGACUAUGUUUAGUCUUGUAGCUUACUCGCUGACGCUAUUUUACCUACGCUUAGGAUGUUGAUAGUCACAGCGUGUAC
RNAcentral lists this ribosomal RNA (774 nucleotides) under uncultured Neocallimastigales. RNAcentral's name for it is "partial large subunit ribosomal RNA". It matches the Rfam family "Eukaryotic large subunit ribosomal RNA", at positions 23 to 644 of the family's 3401-position model. The record is from RNAcentral. Lineage: Eukaryota; Fungi; Neocallimastigomycota; Neocallimastigomycetes; Neocallimastigales.